GACGAACGCUGGCGGCAUGCCUAAUACAUGCAAGUCGAGCGAACAGAUGAAGUGCUUGCACUUCUGACGUUAGCGGCGAACGGGUGAGUAACACGUAAGGAAUCUACCUAUAAGCGGGGGAUAACAUUCGGAAACGGGUGCUAAUACCGCAUAAUAUCUUCUUCCGCAUGGAAGAAGAUUGAAAGACGGCUCUGCUGUCACUUAUAGAUGACCUUGCGGUGCAUUAGUUAGUUGGUGGGGUAAUGGCCUACCAAGACGAUGAUGCAUAGCCGACCUGAGAGGGUGAUCGGCUACAUUGGGACUGAGACACGGCCCAAACUCCUACGGGAGGCAGCAGUAGGGAAUCUUCCGCAAUGGGCGAAAGCCUGACGGAGCAAUGCCGCGUGAGUGAAGAAGGCCUUCGGGUCGUAAAACUCUGUUAUGAGAGAAGAACAAAUUGUAGAGUAACUGCUACAGUCUUGACGGUAUCUUAUCAGAAAGCCACGGCUAACUACGUGCCAGCCGCCGCUGUAA
Molecule: ribosomal RNA, 513 nt
Filed under: uncultured bacterium
Lineage: Bacteria
Description: partial 16S ribosomal RNA
Rfam family: Bacterial small subunit ribosomal RNA
Source: RNAcentral